This 1127-nucleotide ribosomal RNA is filed under the name Buddenbrockia bryozoides. Its description in RNAcentral is "SSU rRNA". It matches the Rfam family "Eukaryotic small subunit ribosomal RNA", at positions 21 to 1113 of the family's 1831-position model. The record is from RNAcentral. Lineage: Eukaryota; Metazoa; Cnidaria; Myxozoa; Malacovalvulida; Saccosporidae.
CUGCGAUGUACUCGUCUUAAAGAUUAAGCCAUGCAUGCCUAAGUACAAACUUGGUAGAGUGAAACUGCGGAUAGCUCAUUACAACGCCUACAUUUUUCUUGAUUGUCAAUCUACAGGAUAACCGUAGAAAAUCUAGAGCUAAGACUUGCAUUGAUAUCCAGCCUUUACUGGCUGGAUGCAUUUUUCUGAUAUCCGAUCGCAAGUUGCCGUAAGGCUUCAGGCGAAAGGUGAUUCUAGAUGACUUUGCUGAUCGUAUGGCUUUAUGCCGACGACAGAUCAAAUAAAAUCGCGCCCUAUCAAUUUGUAGUUAGGAUAUUUUCCUAACUAGAUUACGACGGGUCACGGGGAAUCAGGGUUCGAUUCCGGAGAGGCAGCUUGAGAUAUCGCUACCACAUCUAAGGAAGGCAGCAGGCGCGCAAAUUACCCACUCCCGAACUGGGGAGGUAGUGACGAGAAAUAUCAGUCUAACUCUUUGAGCAAUAGACUGGAAUGGACGAAAUUCAGGUCCAUUCGUGAAUACUANCGANGGGCAAGUCUGGUGCCAGCAGCCGCGGUAAUUCCAGCUUCGCACGUACAUGUAAAAUUUGUUGCAUUUAAAAAGCUCGUAGUCGGACUGUUUCACGACGUUUUGUUCAAAGCCAGUUGCAACUCGGCUAACCAGUUUCGAAGGGUUUUGAACUGGUAAAUUGGUCGUUGCAACUGGAUGAAUAGUCGUGAACAAUUACAAAUUUCGCUCCUACACUUAAUUGUGUGGGGGAUUGAAUAUUUGUAGACGUACCUUGAACAAAUCGGUUUGUUCAAAACAGGCCAUAUCGAGCGCCUGGACAUUCGAGCAUGGAAUGAUCGAUCGAGACCUGAUCGUUUGGUCGGAAACGAAUAAGGUCCAGGUCAAAAGGGACAUUUGGGGGCAUACGAACUCGGCAGCGAGAGGUGAAAUUCUAAGACCUGCCGAGGUCGAACUAAAGCGAAAGCAUUUGCCAAGAAUGUUUUCAUUGAUCAAGAACGAAAGUUGGAGGAUCAAAAACGAUCAGAUACCGUUGUAGUUCCAACUUUAAACUAUGCCGACUGUUGGGGCCAGUUCGGUAUAUCCGUACUUAUUGACCUCCCAGGGAAACCAUAGUAGGGUU